GCGCCCGUAGCUCAACUGGAUAGAGCACGUGACUACGGAUCACGAGGUUGGGGGUUCGAGUCCCUCCGGGCGCAUUA
RNAcentral lists this transfer RNA (77 nucleotides) under Persephonella marina EX-H1. RNAcentral's name for it is "tRNA-Arg". It matches the Rfam family "tRNA". Rfam says of the family: Transfer RNA (tRNA) molecules are approximately 80 nucleotides in length. Their secondary structure includes four short double-helical elements and three loops (D, anti-codon, and T loops). Lineage: Bacteria; Pseudomonadati; Aquificota; Aquificia; Aquificales; Hydrogenothermaceae. The record is from RNAcentral.